UUUCAGGUUGAUUUGGCCAAAUGAAGGU
RNAcentral lists this non-coding RNA (28 nucleotides) under Rattus norvegicus (Norway rat). Lineage: Eukaryota; Metazoa; Chordata; Mammalia; Rodentia; Muridae. The record is from RNAcentral.